Molecule: ribosomal RNA, 471 nt
Filed under: uncultured bacterium
Lineage: Bacteria
Description: bacterial SSU rRNA
Rfam family: Bacterial small subunit ribosomal RNA
Source: RNAcentral
ACGAACGCUGGCGGCGUGCUUAACACAUGCAAGUCGAACGAGGUCCAUUCAGUAGCAAUACUGAUGAAGGCCGAGUGGCGAACGGGUGAGUAACACGUGGGUGAUCUGCCCUGCACUCUGGGAUAAGCCUGGGAAACUGGGUCUAAUACUGGAUAUGACCUGCUCUCGCAUGGGGGUGGGUGGAAAGAUUUAUCGGUGCAGGAUGGGCCCGCGGCCUAUCAGCUUGUUGGUGGGGUAAUGGCCUACCAAGGCGACGACGGGUAGCCGACCUGAGAGGGUGACCGGCCACACUGGGACUGAGACACGGCCCAGACUCCUACGGGAGGCAGCAGUGGGGAAUAUUGCACAAUGGGCGAAAGCCUGAUGCAGCGACGCCGCGUGAGGGAUGAAGGCCUUCGGGUUGUAAACCUCUUUCAGCAGGGACGAAGCGUGAGUGACGGUACCUGCAGAAGAAGCACCGGCUAACUACGU